GACGAACGCUGGCGGCGUGCUUAACACAUGCAAGUCGAACGGAAAGGCCCCCACCUUGGUGGGGGUGCUCGAGUGGCGAACGGGUGAGUAACACGUGGGUGAUCUGCCCUGUACUUCGGGAUAAGCUUGGGAAACUGGGUCUAAUACCGGAUAGGACCAUGGUUUAGUGUCUCAUGGUGGAAAAAUUAUUGUUUUGGUGCAGGAUGAGCUCGCGGCCUAUCAGCUUGUUGGUGGGGUAAUGGUCUACCAAGGCGUCGACGGGUAGCCGGCCUGAGAGGGUGGACGGCCACAUUGGGACUGAGAUACGGCCCAGACUCCUACGGGAGGCAGCAGUGGGGAAUAUUGCACAAUGGGCGCAAGCCUGAUGCAGCGACGCCGCGUGGGGGAUGACGGCCUUCGGGUUGUAAACUCCUUUCGUUAGGGACGAAGCCACACCUUUUUUGGGUGUGGUGACGGUACCUUUGUGAAGAAGCACCGGCUAACUACGUG
This 489-nucleotide ribosomal RNA is filed under the name uncultured bacterium. RNAcentral describes it as "partial 16S ribosomal RNA". It matches the Rfam family "Bacterial small subunit ribosomal RNA", at positions 28 to 507 of the family's 1533-position model. The record is from RNAcentral.